RNAcentral lists this ribosomal RNA (253 nucleotides) under uncultured bacterium. Its description in RNAcentral is "partial 16S ribosomal RNA". It matches the Rfam family "Bacterial small subunit ribosomal RNA", at positions 524 to 776 of the family's 1533-position model. The record is from RNAcentral.
UACGUAGGGGGCUAGCGUUGUCCGGAAUCAUUGGGCGUAAAGCGCGUGUAGGCGGCCCGGUAAGUCCGCUGUGAAAGUCGGGGGCUCAACCCUCGGAUGCCGGUGGAUACUGUCGGGCUAGAGUGCGGAAGAGGCGAGUGGAAUUCCUGGUGUAGCGGUGAAAUGCGCAGAUAUCAGGAGGAACACCAAUUGCGAAGGCAGCUCGCUGGGACGUUACUGACGCUGAGACGCGAAAGCUAGGGGAGCAAACGGG